UAAGAUGUUGCUCUGACCGUGUCUAGA
RNAcentral lists this small RNA (27 nucleotides) under Bombyx mori (domestic silkworm). RNAcentral describes it as "ovarian small RNA-19220". The record is from RNAcentral. Lineage: Eukaryota; Metazoa; Arthropoda; Insecta; Lepidoptera; Bombycidae.